UGUUAGAACAAUGAUUUUUCUCCCGGAUUUCACACAACUCUGUAUCGUGGUGUCCGAACUUGUUAGACAUGAUUCUAAAAAAAACAAGUGACGAUAACAUCUGAGCGAACAGUUCAGUCAAAACCUAUAGAUGACAAUGAAAUAGCCACAAGGGCACUUUAGUCCUUUCCAAUGCCUAUAAAUAGAAAGGAAAAGAAAAUCAGUAAACAAGAGUUGGGUGGCAAUUUGCGAAACCCAUAUUAGGAAUGACAAUUUUGGGAAGCAAGAUAUCGAGA
RNAcentral lists this long non-coding RNA (275 nucleotides) under Hordeum vulgare. RNAcentral describes it as "long non-coding RNA (HVUL_LNC002685)". The record is from RNAcentral. Lineage: Eukaryota; Viridiplantae; Streptophyta; Magnoliopsida; Poales; Poaceae.